AGUAAAAACUGACCGAGUAAAUGUGAAUAUUUUUUCACUUGAACACUCUGAUCUGUUUGGAACUUAAUUUCCUUACUCAUGAAAUUAAUAUAAUAAGGCUAAGUUGGUCAGUAGUUAAACUAACUAAAUUUGGCUGAAGAUUGCUAUGUUCACUAUGCAAAGAUUAGACCGUUAGUUCCCUGAGUGAAGAGAUGCUAUCUUGGUAUCUCCAGCUUCCAACCGGGGGCUUGGCACAGAAUAGGGGCUUGGUAAAUGUUUUCCAAAUGAAUGGGAUGUCUGAUGGAAAGAAGACAAGGUGAAGGAAUUCCUGGGUAAUAUGGAGAUGAGAAUCUGUGAGAAGGAUACAUGUACUGAUGCCUGUCGCGGUGGACACACAGACGCACACAUUGCGGAACACCACCAUAAGAAUAUUGAGAAUAUCGAGAACACUUCAAUAUUCCAAACUUCAAUGGAAAUAUACAUGCUGUAAAAUUUCAAAUUCAUGCUCCACUUCUUAUAAAAGGAACUGGAGUACACUCUUCUUCUGCCCUUGGACAUCAGGCUCUCUGGCCUUUGGACUCCAGGACUUAUACCAGCGCCCCUCUGGGUUCUCAGGCCUCUGUACUUGAACUGAGCCACACUGCCAGCAUGCCAGCUUCUCCAGCUUGCCAGGCCUGCUGUGGGACUUCUCAGCCUCCAUAAUCAUGUGUGCCAAUUCCCCUAAUAAAUCUCCUCUCA
RNAcentral lists this long non-coding RNA (717 nucleotides) under Homo sapiens (human). RNAcentral's name for it is "HSALNT0352726". Lineage: Eukaryota; Metazoa; Chordata; Mammalia; Primates; Hominidae. The record is from RNAcentral.